GAGAUUUUUCUUAAAUUCAAACUGUGCACAAAACAUUUCAGAUGCAUUCAAACUCUGAACUGGAACAUGUUAAUUUACUGUUGUGGAACUAAUAUGAAAACAAUAUUGUUGACAGUAUAGUAGUGUACCACCAAAGAAUUUAUGCUGGGAGAAGAAGCAAAGCUUCGAUGACACCACAAAGCCAAAUGAUAACUGGCUUAAUUUUUACUCUUUUUAUGCAUAAAAUGUCAUAGUUGUUAGUAUCUCAUUAAAAUGUAUUUUCUAAUAAUAUAAUGAUUUGCAAAUGAUGGAAAUUUACUUGUCAUUAAAACAUUUUGUUCUAAACAUGCUUCAGCUUAUCAAAGAAGUUAAAGCUAUUCCAACCUAUCCCCCAUAUUAAAGUUUUUUUUGAUUAAAUCAGGUUCAUGUCUAAUGCAUCAAAAAUAUAAAUAAACUUUCUUUAGUAUUUGUCAAACAUCAGUUCUCAUGGCCUUAAAUUGGAUGCAAGAUUUAUUUCACAAAGUUAUGUUUUCACUUAUGGGGCAAAACUUUUAAAUUUGUUAUUUGAAUCUGUUACAUUAGUCUUUAUUUUAAAGAAUAUAUUGUAUGUCAUAUGGCCAUGAAGGCAACCUGGUUAAAGUAGAAAUGAAAUCAAACUUUCUAAUUAAUGUGAUUUGAAGCCAUUGUGUUAUACUUCGAGGAAUAUGUUAUAUGGUAAAUAUGUGUGCUCAUGUUUUUCCUGGAAAGGGCAUAACAUUUUUUUUACAGAAAUAAGUUACCAACCUAAAUCUAUUGUCAUGGCAAUUAAAUUUUUCUGAAAGAGCAGGAUUAUUUAUAAGCCAAGUGCUAAACCUUUGUAUUGUUACCCUGAUCAUGAAAUUUUAAAUGGUGAUUUAAUUUCUUUUUUCAGGUUGAACUGCCCUUCAAUGAAAGCUUUUGCUCGAUGUGUGGCCUGUAAUAGCAAUAAAUGGGACUUUUGUGAACUGAAAUCUGUUAGGCUUUCCAAAAUCCAGAAAGCUGAUUAGGUGUGCAGAAGCAGCAGACUUGUAAAUGUGAAGGAGCUAUUUGCUUAGUUAUGCAGUAGAAUUCACCACCCUGCGGCAAGCUUCAUUAAAGCUGUGAACAGCCAAGCUAACCAUCUUCAGGGCAAGUAGCUGCAUCAAGCAAACCCAGUGACAUUCCAAAGAGGAAUGUCAGUCAAAAUAAAAACUUAAUACCUAAAUCUCGGAAAAUCAGACAAUUAAGCCACAAAUCUUGUGACCAAUUUUUCAGUUGCUGUGCUUAGUGCGAUAAAGUUAUAUGGCAAUAAACUGAAAAGCUAUGGCAGGUAUUCUAUUGUACCCUUUAAUGAAAUCAAUUUAAAGCAAGCUUAUCAUAUGAUAAGCAAAAUGAUUGUAUCAUUGGAUGGUAAUGAUUGCAUUGCUGGGUAUGCAGGCUAUGGUUCUACAAUGAGCCAAAUGUAAUAUCUCAGUAUGCUGUGACUAUUAAAAUUAUAAAUUAUGUAUUAUUACUUCAUAUUGGUCAUUAUGUUCCAAAAUAAAUGCUCUUUUUAUAUAGAACUAUAUAAAUGUAGAAAAUCUGAGAAGUUAAUUUUAUAUGGAAAGCCUUCGUGCAAAAUUAAUAGCAUCUUGUUAAUUUCAUAUAUGUUUUGUGAAAGUAAUUGCUGCUGAAUCUAGAAUUAAUGCAUUAUCUGAGAUUUGAGACAAAAUUUGUCAAAUUAGAAGAUAGUGAAAUAGAUAAAUAGGAAAUGAAACAUGAAAUUUAUAUAUUUAAUAUUGAAAUAAAUAUCUCAGUAAAGUGGCUGUAUGUAAAGUAUAAUGAUGCAAUUUUUAUAAUUUUUUACUAAAAUGCUAAAAUUAUGUGCUAUGAAAAUUUUAUUUUCAUUAAUAUUUAUAAUUUUUUCCUCGCAAAUUUUUAUCCAAGGUGUAUAUGUUUUAGCUAUUUUAGAUUUUUCUGUUUUAAUGUUAAAAAUAUCUUCUUUAUCAGCAUUACAUUAAAAUCCAUCUCAUAAUCAUUUGAAAAUGAAGGAAAUUUCAUUCUUUUCAAUAGUUUAAGAAUAUUUUCAUAAAACAUAAUUAUAGAAAAAAUGAACUGAUACAUUUUUAGUUAUAUAUAUGUAAAGAAAAUUUUUUAGAAGGAUCCUUUUUUCCAUACCAGAAACAUUUCAUGAGCUGUAAUAUGUAAUAUUAGUUGGCCUAAUAUGUAAAAGGAAUGUUUAAUCAAAUUAUUUUUAUUAUGCUUUUAUAAAUAUCACUAUAAUUUUAAGAGUUAUUGAAUUUAAAAGUGAAAGAAAAAGCUACAGUUAUUUCAAGACUCUUUAAUAAAACAAUUCUUUAUUCUUGUAUUCUCGUAUGAAAAUUUUCUGUAUAUUUAACAUAAAAUUGUAUGCAUGUAAAUAAAUUUUUUAAUUUAUUAUUAUCAUUC
Molecule: long non-coding RNA, 2403 nt
Organism: Stegodyphus dumicola
Lineage: Eukaryota; Metazoa; Arthropoda; Arachnida; Araneae; Eresidae
Source: RefSeq, a predicted model, not a curated record